This 253-nucleotide ribosomal RNA is filed under the name uncultured bacterium. RNAcentral's name for it is "partial 16S ribosomal RNA". It matches the Rfam family "Bacterial small subunit ribosomal RNA", at positions 524 to 776 of the family's 1533-position model. The record is from RNAcentral.
UACGGAGGGUGCAAGCGUUAUCCGGAUUUACUGGGUUUAAAGGGUGCGUAGGUGGGUCUGUAAGUCAGUGGUGAAAUCUCCGAGCUUAACUCGGAAACUGCCAUUGAUACUAUAGAUCUUGAAUUAUCUGGAGGUAAGCGGAAUAUGUCAUGUAGCGGUGAAAUGCUUAGAUAUGACAUAGAACACCAAUUGCGGAGGCAGCUUACUACGGAUCGAUUGACACUGAGGCACGAAAGCGUGGGGAUCAAACAGG